This 253-nucleotide ribosomal RNA is filed under the name uncultured bacterium. RNAcentral's name for it is "partial 16S ribosomal RNA". It matches the Rfam family "Bacterial small subunit ribosomal RNA", at positions 524 to 776 of the family's 1533-position model. The record is from RNAcentral.
GACAGAGGUCCCGAGCGUUAGGCGGAAUCACUGGGCUUAAAGCGUGUGUAGGCGGAUUUGUAAGUACCUUGUGAAAUCCCACGGCUUAACCGUGGAACUGCUUGGUAUACUGCUUAUCUUGGGCCAUCUAGGGGCUACUGGAACAAACGGUGGAGCGGUGAAAUGCGUAGAUAUGUGGAGGAACACCGAUGGCGAAGGCAGCCCCCUGGGUUAACACUGACGCUCAUGCACGAAAGCGUGGGGAGCAAACAGG